ACGGGUGAGUAAUGUCUGGGAAACUGCCUGAUGGAGGGGGAUAACUACUGGAAACGGUAGCUAAUACCGCAUAACGUCGCAAGACCAAAGAGGGGGACCUUCGGGCCUCUUGCCAUCAGAUGUGCCCAGAUGGGAUUAGCUAGUAGGUGGGGUAACGGCUCACCUAGGCGACGAUCCCUAGCUGGUCUGAGAGGAUGACCAGCCACACUGGAACUGAGACACGGUCCAGACUCCUACGGGAGGCAGCAGUGGGGAAUAUUGCACAAUGGGCGCAAGCCUGAUGCAGCCAUGCCGCGUGUGUGAAGAAGGCCUUCGGGUUGUAAAGCACUUUCAGCGGGGAGGAAGGGGGUAAGGUUAAUAACCUUAUUCAUUGACGUUACCCGCAGAAGAAGCACCGGCUAACUCCGUGCCAGCAGCCGCGGUAAUACGGAGGGUGCAAGCGUUAAUCGGAAUUACUGGGCGUAAAGCGCACGCAGGCGGUCUGUCAAGUCGGAUGUGAAAUCCCCGGGCUCAACCUGGGAACUGCAUUCGAAACUGGCAGGCUAGAGUCUUGUAGAGGGGGGUAGAAUUCCAGGUGUAGC
RNAcentral lists this ribosomal RNA (581 nucleotides) under uncultured bacterium. Its description in RNAcentral is "bacterial SSU rRNA". It matches the Rfam family "Bacterial small subunit ribosomal RNA", at positions 102 to 679 of the family's 1533-position model. The record is from RNAcentral.